ACAGAGGAAGUUCAAUGGUAGGAUUCUCGUCUUCCACGCGAGAGACCCGGGUUCGAUUCCCGGCCAGUGCA
This 71-nucleotide transfer RNA is filed under the name Loxodonta africana (African savanna elephant). It matches the Rfam family "tRNA". From Rfam's summary of the family: Transfer RNA (tRNA) molecules are approximately 80 nucleotides in length. Their secondary structure includes four short double-helical elements and three loops (D, anti-codon, and T loops). Lineage: Eukaryota; Metazoa; Chordata; Mammalia; Proboscidea; Elephantidae. The record is from Rfam by way of RNAcentral.